CGCAGAGGCAUCGGCGGCGGCGGCGGAGACGGAGAGAGGCAGGCAGGCAGGGCGAGGGCGAGAGACGGAGGGAGGGAGCGAGCGAGGCGGACCAGACAGACAGACAGGCGGGCGGGCGGGCAGAGCGAGCCACCCGCCAGGCUGCGCUCAGCCCCGCUCGCAGCGGAGAGAGCAGAAGGCAGGAGGAGGGAGGGGAGGAGGGGGAGGGAGGGAGAGAGGGAAUCCAGCUACCACCACCCAAAGCCAGCGUCUGCUUUCUGUCCUCAUUUCCUUUUCCCACCCAGCUUGGAGAGCAGAGAAAGGCAGAGAGAGCGAGAAAUAGAGACAGUCUGAGAGACAGACAGACAGCCAGAGAGAGCGGGAGGGAGGAGGGCGGAGGAGGAGGAGCAGGAGGACUACGCGGGGCGCGUUCCCUCCCAGGUUUGCAAUUGGGGGGGUGGGGGCGGGGGUGUCCAGGGCUGGGAGAGUGUGUGCGCGGCGGGAGGGCGAGGGGAGCGCAGAGAGCGAAGGAGUGAUCGAGGUGGGGGGGCGCCGCGGGAGCGGGGGGCCGUGUCCAGCGGAGUUAGCGGCGGAGAAUGUGAGCCGAGGCGCGAGCCAUGCUGUCAGCGACGGCGGGCGGCUCAGGGCUCUUCCACGACUCCUCUCCUCAGCAGCCGGGCGCCCGCGUCGCUGCCACCGCCGGAAGACAGACGCCCCCUAAAACCCCUCGCUUGGCUCGGACCCACGGAGCCGGCAGCCCAGCACUCCGAUGGGAGCUUGCCUGAUUGUCAAGCCAUCGGCCUGGACCCCAGAGCCUACCCAGCUGAGCAUGUGCAGAGGGCCCCGAGUGCGGGGCAACGCUCAGGCCAUUACAGAGACCACCCUGGAGAUGCUGAUGAAGACAGGCCUUUCCUGCUGAGCCGGGCCUGUCUGCACAGCCUGCUCAGAAAGGGGAACUGA
This 939-nucleotide long non-coding RNA is filed under the name Macaca nemestrina (pig-tailed macaque). Its description in RNAcentral is "lncRNA (ENSMNEG00000045817.1)". Lineage: Eukaryota; Metazoa; Chordata; Mammalia; Primates; Cercopithecidae. The record is from RNAcentral.